RNAcentral lists this ribosomal RNA (973 nucleotides) under Pinctada margaritifera. Its description in RNAcentral is "bacterial LSU rRNA". It matches the Rfam family "Bacterial large subunit ribosomal RNA", at positions 1942 to 2910 of the family's 2925-position model. The record is from RNAcentral. Lineage: Eukaryota; Metazoa; Mollusca; Bivalvia; Pterioida; Pteriidae.
AUAACGGUCCUAAGGUAGCGAAAUUCCUUGUCGGGUAAGUUCCGACCUGCACGAAUGGCGUAACGAUGGCCACACUGUCUCCUCCUGAGACUCAGCGAAGUUGAAAUGUUUGUGAUGAUGCAAUCUACCCGCGGCUAGACGGGAAGACCCCAUGAACCUUUACUGUAGCUUUGCAUUGGGCUUUGGAUAAAUUUGUGUAGGAUAGGUGGGAGGCUUUGAAGCGAGGACGCUAGUUCUCGUGGAGCCAACCUUGAAAUACCACCCUGAUUUAUUUGAGGUUCUAACCUUGGCCCGUUAUCCGGGUCGGGAACAGUGCAUGGUAGGCAGUUUGACUGGGGCGGUCUCCUCCCAAAGUGUAACGGAGGAGUACGAAGGUACGCUUGGUACGGUCGGACAUCGUACCUAAAGUGCAAUGGCAAAAGCGUGCUUAACUGCGAGACCGACAAGUCGAGCAGGUGCGAAAGCAGGUCAUAGUGAUCCGGUGGUUCUGUAUGGAAGGGCCAUCGCUCAACGGAUAAAAGGUACUCUGGGGAUAACAGGCUGAUACCGCCCAAGAGUUCAUAUCGACGGCGGUGUUUGGCACCUCGAUGUCGGCUCAUCACAUCCUGGGGCUGUAGCCGGUCCCAAGGGUAUGGCUGUUCGCCAUUUAAAGUGGUACGUGAGCUGGGUUUAAAACGUCGUGAGACAGUUUGGUCCCUAUCUGCCGUGGGCGUUGGAAAUUUGAGGGGGGCUGCUCCUAGUACGAGAGGACCGGAGUGGACGAACCUCUGGUGUACCAGUUGUCACGCCAGUGGCAUAGCUGGGUAGCUAAGUUCGGAAAAGAUAACCGCUGAAAGCAUAUAAGCGGGAAACUUGCCCCGAGAUGAAAUUUCCCUGGAGGGUAACCUCCCUGAAGGGCCGUUCGAGACCAGGACGUUGAUAGGCUGGGUGUGUAAGCGCAGUAAUGUGUUCAGCUAACCAGUACUAAUUGCCC